UACGUAGGGUGCAAGCGUUAAUCGGAAUUACUGGGCGUAAAGGGAGCGUAGGCGGAUAGUUUAGUCAGAGGUGAAAGCCCAGGGCUCAACCUUGGAAUUGCCUUUGAUACUGGCUAUCUUGAGUGUGGGAGAGGUAUGUGGAACUCCGAGUGUAGAGGUGAAAUUCGUAGAUAUUCGGAAGAACACCAGUGGCGAAGGCGACAUACUGGCCCAUUACUGACGCUGAGGCUCGAAAGCGUGGGGAGCAAACAGG
This 253-nucleotide ribosomal RNA is filed under the name uncultured bacterium. RNAcentral's name for it is "partial 16S ribosomal RNA". It matches the Rfam family "Bacterial small subunit ribosomal RNA", at positions 524 to 776 of the family's 1533-position model. The record is from RNAcentral.